This is an RNA transcript of Salvelinus fontinalis (brook trout), 3718 nucleotides long. It is a transcript of the gene named ankyrin repeat domain 55, with no coding region annotated. The record is from RefSeq and is a predicted model, not a curated record. The transcript is spliced from 10 exons. Lineage: Eukaryota; Metazoa; Chordata; Actinopteri; Salmoniformes; Salmonidae.
ACAAUGAAAACAUCCCCAGUCACCACCGGCAGGCUGCAUUUUGACUCUCUGUCUUGCACAUGCUCAGUGAGACGCCAGUCGUGAAUCUUUUCAUUCAUACUGUACAUCUCUCUCCCUCCAUCGCCUGGCUAGGCAAGCUGCUGCUGUAGCCUCCAACUUACCUCCACUCUGCUCUAUGCUGUCUGACAAUGGAUGAUUGAUUUCUCCAUCCCUCCUUCCGUUUAUCCCUCGCUCCUCAGUGGGGAAAAGAAACGAGAAACAGGGGGAAUCUCCUUCUCAAAGAUCUGUAAUUGACAACACAAGACUGUCUUGGGGGAAUUCUUCUCUCUCCUCUCUUCUUUCCUGUGAUGGAUGGAUGAGGAUUUAUAUUGGUCAUGUAACCCUCUUCAAGGCAGUAGAAGACGUGAGAGAAGAGGGGGAAGAGGAGGAGGAGAAGUAGAUGAGCGAUGUCUUGGGCUACAGUGUAAGGGAGGUUUUCAACAGAGGCUGAUGUGCCUUUCUAGUCUCUCUCGGUGUUGAUUUUGGACAGAUGAUGAUGUUUUAGUUUGACCAUGGAGUUCAGCGCCUCAUCUGUGUUUGACCAGCAGAAAGAUUCUGCUGAAGAAGUGGAUCUUAACGUUGUUUACCAAGCAGCCGCCAAUGGGGACGUCAACACAUUAACAGCAACCAUACGGGAAGAUCCCUCCAUUUUGGAGUACUGUGAUGGUGAAGGCUCCACCCCUUUGAUGCAUGCGGUGUCGGGGAGGCAGGUGGACACGGUGAAACUCCUGCUGAAGAUGGGUACCUCCAUCAAUACCCAGGAUGCCUGUGGAAGGACUUCGCUCUCCCUAGCGACAUAUCUGGGGUGGCUCGAAGGCUGCGUGUGUUUGCUGCGAAAUGGAGCCAAGCAGAACAUCCCCGAUAAAAACGGUCGCCUGCCUCUUCACGCAGCGACCGCUGAGAUCGACCUCAAACUCAUGGCAGUCCUGCUGCAGCAAUCGACUGCGUGUGAAAUCAACCACCAAGACAACGAGGGCAUGACUGCUCUUCAUUGGGCAUCUUUCCACAACCGUCCUGAGCAUGUGCAGGCUCUCCUGCAGAAAGGGGCGGAUCCCACACUCGUGGACAAGGACUUCAAGACAGCCCUCCAUUGGGCAGUGCAGAGUGGCAGCAGAUUCAUGUGUUCUCUCAUCCUGGAGCACCGCCUGGGCUCCUCGGUCAUCAACUACGACGACGAAAACGGCAAGACCUGCGUGCACAUCGCCGCUGCCGCUGGAUACAGCGACAUCCUCUAUGAGUUGGCGCGCUUUGCCGAGACCAACCUGCAGGCCCUGGAUGUGGACGAACGAACCCCUCUUCAUUGGGCGGCAGCAGCGGGGAAGGAGGACUGUGUCCAGGCCUUACUGCAACUAGGGGUGGAGACGGGGCCCAGGGAUAUCAACGAGAACACACCGCUCACAUAUGCAAUGUACUGUGGCCACACUGCCUGCAUCAAGCUCCUCUCAGCUGACAACAGGUCCAAUUCAGCCAGAAAGCUGUCUUCCCAGGGCAGUGAUCCAUCCCAGCUGUCUUCCCAGGGCAGUGAUCCAUCCCAGCUGUCUUCUCAGGGCAGUGAUCCAUCCCAGCUGUCUUCUGAGGGCAGUGAUCCAUCCCAGCUGUCUUCUCAGGGCAGUGAUCCAUCCCAGCUGCCUUCUCAGGGCAGUGAUCCAUCCCAGCUGCCUUCUCAGGGCAGUGAUCCAUCCCAGCUGUCUUCUCAGAGCAGUGAUCCAUCCCAGCUGCCUUCUCAGGGCAGUGAUCCAUCCCAGCUGUCUUCUCAGGGCAGUGAUCCAUCCCAGCUGCCUUCUCAGGGCAGUGAUCCAUCCCAGCUGCCUUUCCAGGGCAGUGAUCCAUCCCAGCUGUCUUCUCAGGGGAGUGAUCCAUCCCAGCUGUCUCCUCAGGGGAGUGAUCCAUCCCAGCUGUCUUCUCAGGGGAGUGACCAAUCCCAGCUGUCUUCUCAGGGGAGUGACCCGUCCCAGAAGAAGGAGGGCAAGUUCCGCAUGCUCAACCAGAUCUUCUCCUGCAAGAGGAAGGAGCACUACACCGCCCGCCAAAGAGAGCUGGGCCGCGACGGACACCUGAGGGAGGAGACCUCAGAGGUGGAUGACAUCAUCACCAUGUUCGAUUGUCUGGCUGACUCCUCUUCGGCCAAGGAGCUUGAAAACGAACGCUCCAAAGUCAGGAAACGGCCUUCGGUCGAAGCAGCGCAGAAACUCAAUCCACUCGACAUCCGGACGGCGAAGGACUACAAGGGACUGCCUCCUAUACGGACGCAAAGUCUUCCACCCAUCAAUCUGGGCACGUCUUUGUUGGCCAUCUCCCAGAGUGCUGUGGAGCAGAGUCAAGCCACGCGGCCGAUGGUCAACCACUUUGCACACCGCUCUCAGAAAAGCAAGAGUGAGCAUGACUUAUUUGACAGCAGGCCGAAGGGACAAGCGUUGGUUAGUCAUUCCUGGAAGACCGAGUCCAAUCAGUCCAUUUUGGCCCACAAAUCCUGGAUAUCACCCCCAACAGAAAGGCUGUUGGACAAACUGUACCAUGAGACUUAUGGACCUACUGAUGUCCUCUGCCCUCACCAAGCCCCAUACAUACAGAAGAAUGAACAAGGUAUUAUUACUUGAGUUUUUCACAAGGUGAGAUGAGUUAAGUAUUUCACAAGGUGAGAUGAGUUAAGUAUUUCACAAGGUAAGAUGAGUAAGUAUUUCACAAGGUAAGAUGAGUUAAAUAUUUCACAAGGUGAGAUGAGUUAAGUAUUUCACAAGGUAAGAUGAGUUAAGUAUUUCACAAGGUGAGAUGAGUUAAGUAUUUCACAAGGUAAGAUGAGUUAAGUAUUUCACAAGGUGAGAUGAGUUAAGUAUUUCACAAGGUAAGAUGAGUUAAGUAUUUCACAAGGUAAAAUGAGUUAAGUAUUUCACAAGGUAAGACGAGUUAAGUAUUUCACAAGGUAAGAUGAGUUAAGUAUUUCACAAGGAAAGAUGAGUUAAGUAUUUCACAAGGUAAGAUGAGUUAAGUAUUUCACAAGGUGAGAUGAGUUAAGUAUUUCACAAGGUAAGAUGAGUUAAGUAUUUCACAAGGUAAAAUGAGUUAAGUAUUUCACAAGGUAAGACGAGUUAAGUAUUUCACAAGGUAAGAUGAGUUAAGUAUUUCACAAGGAAAGAUGAGUUAAGUAUUUCACAAGGUAAGAUGGGUUGAGUUUUUCACAAAAGGAGAGGAUAACUUAGCAGAGGGGAUGUGUGACUUACUGAAACAUAGAAACUUGUGGUGCAUUCUCAUGAGUUAUCAAGUGAGUCAUCUCACUGUCCUUUCACCAGAGCUAAGCAGCCGUUAGCAAAAAAGCCACAUCCUGCUAAGAUAAUAUAUUGUAGAUAGCUACACUUGACUUCACUGUUCACACCUUGAGUCCGCUUCGAUUCAAAACCAGUAGCCCUAACCAUUUUUCUUGCCUGUCUAAAAUAGCAAGGGAGUGACGCAUGAGAAAACGUGUGAACUUCUAUGCAGUUGAGUUUUGAUGAUUCUUCUCAACAAGGGAACGUAACUUCUGCUUUACAUCACCACAAUGUAUGCAUCCAAGUGCAUGCUAAUAACAUUAUGUACUUCUCUUCACCACAGCUCCAAAUACACACCUGCUAACUCUGGACAGGUUAAACAUGAGGGAGACUGCCCUAACACGGAACUGCUUGGCCCCCAUUCGUGACCACUGUAC